UACGGAGGGGGCUAGCGUUGUUCGGAAUUACUGGGCGUAAAGCGCACGUAGGCGGUUUACCAAGUAAGGGGUGAAAUCCCGGGGCUUAACCUCGGAAUUGCCUUUUAGACUGGUAGACUUGAGACCGAGAGAGGUAAGGGGAAUUCCGAGUGUAGAGGUGAAAUUCGUAGAUAUUCGGAAGAACACCAGUGGCGAAGGCGCCUUACUGGCUCGGCACUGACGCUGAGGUGCGAAAGCGUGGGGAGCAAACAGG
RNAcentral lists this ribosomal RNA (253 nucleotides) under uncultured bacterium. RNAcentral describes it as "partial 16S ribosomal RNA". It matches the Rfam family "Bacterial small subunit ribosomal RNA", at positions 524 to 776 of the family's 1533-position model. The record is from RNAcentral.